GAACAGCGAGCGCUCAUUGUGCAGGCUGUCACCCUCGGCGACCGGAGAGACUAAGAAAGAAUAUAAUAGUUACAGUCUCUUCCGUUGUGGAAGUUUAUUUACAGAAAUAAAGGAGUUCCAUAUUGUACUCCCUAUUUGCUUUUCUAGUGCUACUUUCCUUGAAAUAAAGAUCGUUGAUAGCCAUAGCAUUUUCUUAAUAAAGAAAGUGAGUAG
RNAcentral lists this long non-coding RNA (213 nucleotides) under Solanum melongena (eggplant). Its description in RNAcentral is "long non-coding RNA (SMEL_LNC000156)". The record is from RNAcentral. Lineage: Eukaryota; Viridiplantae; Streptophyta; Magnoliopsida; Solanales; Solanaceae.